RNAcentral lists this long non-coding RNA (373 nucleotides) under Rattus norvegicus (Norway rat). RNAcentral's name for it is "long non-coding RNA NONRATT025937". The record is from RNAcentral. Lineage: Eukaryota; Metazoa; Chordata; Mammalia; Rodentia; Muridae.
UGGGAGGGUGAGCUAAACCUUCAGAGAGGCAGACAUGCCUGGGAAACCAGAAGAGACUGCACUCUGCACACAUCUCUGACUCCAGAGGAAAACAUGAAACACCAUCUGGAACCCUGGUGCACAGAGGCUCCCGGAAAGGGCAACAAAGAUCUUCCUGGUUGCUGCCGCCGCAGAGAGCUCGUAAGCAACACCCCACGAGCAAACUUGAGCCUCGGGACCACAGGUAAGACCAACUUCUCUUCUGCAAGUGACCUGCCUGGUGAACUCCAGACACAGGCCCACAGGAACAGCUGAAGACCUGUAGAUAGGAAAAACUACACGCCUGAAAGCAGAACACUCUGUCCUCAUAACUGGCUGAAAGAAAACAGGAAAA